This 253-nucleotide ribosomal RNA is filed under the name uncultured bacterium. Its description in RNAcentral is "partial 16S ribosomal RNA". It matches the Rfam family "Bacterial small subunit ribosomal RNA", at positions 524 to 776 of the family's 1533-position model. The record is from RNAcentral.
UACGAAGGGGGCUAGCGUUGCUCGGAAUCACUGGGCGUAAAGCGCACGUAGGCGGGUCUUUAAGUCAGGGGUGAAAUCCUGGAGCUCAACUCCAGAACUGCCUUUGAUACUGAGGAUCUCGAGUCCUGGAGAGGAAGGUGGAAUGCUUGGUGUAGAGGUGAAAUUCGUAGAUAUCAAGCGGAACACCGGUGGCGAAGGCGGCCUUCUGGACAGUGACUGACGCUGAGACGCGAAAGCGUGGGGAGCAAACAGG